UGUGGCCGACAUCGGCCCCAUAGCGGAACGUUGGGCUCAUAUCUAUAACAUCUAAUAAGGAUCGGCCAGGCAUAGGCGCGUCUCUUCAGUCAGUGCUCUAUUUCCAGCUCGUCGGCUUUGGGUCGGAUCACGACUGCAGGCCGAUGCCGCGCUUAUCUGUUUGCGCGUGACCAUUCAUCUCUGCAACCGACGAGAGAAAUGGCGACUCCGGCGACAUCUGUGGUUUUCAGGAGUGAACAAAUCUACAACACCGGAAAGGGGAAGAGCUGCUGACAGGAGUAACUUUUACUUUAGGAAACUCAGAUGAGAUGUGAUCCCCAGCGUUUGGCGCUGAGAUUCUUCAGGACAAAGGCCUUGAUGCCAUGAAGAUGCCCAUAACUGACAGGCUUUCCUGUGUAAACCAUCAUAUUUAUCCAAAUGAGGGUCUCUGGGAUCCCCAGCUGAAGGCAUGAAGACAUCAGAUCUUGGCCUGGACAGAUGUAUCAACAGUACACCACACCGACCUCUGCUUUUGCAUGGAUGGCUGAUUACUACCAUGUUCUGAGAGGGUAUUACUAUAGCAAAACUGAGCACCUGUGACACUGGGAUUUCUAGUUGUAAAGAAUAAUCACACAAUGUUUUUUAGAAGUUGCAAACUUUUCUCUCUCUUUCUCUCUUACAAACAACACAACAGUUAAACCUUUUCAAAUUCUUUUCUGGUGGUGCACAAGUCCUAUUCUUCGAAACAGAAAUUAAGAUAUUCAUAUGCUCACAUUUAAGCUGCGGACACACUACUUUGAGCAUGCAAAAUUUCUUCAGACACUGUAACUGGCGUGAUAUGACGUCUGCAGAGUCUUUUUAUAAACAUGAAUUCAACAUUUAACAAAUAGUAUAUUCAAAAUAUAAAAAUAUACAGUCUACUCGACUUUACUAAAUUUUAUUUUUUAAUUUAGCCAGGAGGUCACACCUACAUGUAGCGAUUUUGUACUCUUUACACAUAGUCGUGUGAUGUGAAUUCGCAGGUCAGAGUUCCAAACCAAACUUUUUGCAUGAGCUUGCGUGUCUGGUCUCCUGCAUUUGUGUGCAUAUGAAUGGAGGUCAAUGGAAUGAAAAGCGUAGUGUGACCGCACCUUUAUUCUAAAGUUGCGGCACACCUGUAUCAAAAGUGUGAAGUCGUUGACAAAUUUUAUUUGUGAACUGAUAUGCGAGAUCUCACAUAUGACACAUCAGUAUGUGACAUCCCACUCAAACACGUGCUCUAUCCAGUGAUAAACAUACUCUUGUCGUUAUUAAUCAAUCAGUAAUCAACACAGCACCACCCUGAAAUUGCCUUGCACUGUAGAAUUAUGGUUUUGGCAAGAAAUGAAAAAUAGCCAAUUAUUUAUUAUAAAUGCUACUAUUUUACAAUUAAUAUUUAAGACUAUGUUAGAGAGGGAUAGAAGCCAUUUUUAUGGAUGAUAGGAUUUUUUCAUUACAGGUCAUUUAUUUGAAUGAUCAGCAAAAAUUUGAGCCUAUGAGUUUAAUAAUUUGAAUUCGUAGAAUAAGAUUAGUACAAAUUUAACUGUUGUGUUUGUGAGAGAGAAAAGAAAACUACAAGUUUGCAAAUCCUAAUACAUUUUCUCAGUGACUACUGAAAUAUUCUCUACAAAUUCCACUGUCACAGGUGCUCAGUUUUGCUACAAUAAUACUAUAUAUUAUACAGCACAUGCAUAAUUUGAGACAAUAUUCUGAUUCUCAUUUUACCAAUGACAAACCACGUCUAUCUUAUUAACAACUAUUCAUUUUGUGUAUAAUCAAUAUCUAAACAAGUGAUAUUUAGUUGUUAAUGAGGGAUUGGCUGGACUCUGCUGAUAGGGUUCAAAAGUUAUUAACAUAAACAUGAGUGCAACUUUGGACAGCUGGUGGCGCUAGAGGGAUUGAGAUAGAGACUCCAAAUUUGCUAUGGACAUAGAUCAGACUGUCCCUAACUGUGUACCAAAUUUCACAACUUUUUACCAUACGGUUCUAUGGGCUGCCAUAGACUUCCAGAGCGGAAGAAGAAGAAGAAUAAUAGUUAAAAAAAAAAAGAACGCCAACAGGUACAAUAAUAAUAAUAAGAAAACUAACGAUUACAAUAGGUGCCUCCACACCUUCGGUGCUUGGCCCCUAAAAAUAUAUGCGGGGCCAAGCACCAAAGGCAUUGAAAAUAAGAAAUAAUAAUGAGAAAAAUGAAAUAAGAAAUAAUGAGCAAACUGUUUGGGUUGUAGCACAGUGAGGAGCAAGAAGAGCAAAAACAGCAGGAAUUGAAUGUACAUGAAAAAAGGUGGUUUAGAAGUAGAGGUGAGAAUGAACUCAAAAUGAACAGAAUAAGAAAUAAUAAGAAAAAUGUCUGGGUUGUAGCGCAAUGUGGAGCAGGAAGGGAAAAAAAGACCAGAAGCUGAGAUGAAAAUGAACACAGAAUGAACAAAAAUAGAUUUAAUUCUAAUCAGAAGAAGAAAGACUAGUGCAGUACUUAUUGGGAUAAUAAAGGAAUUGAAAUGACAUUACAAACAAUUUAAAAGUUGCCCUACACGGGACUUGAACACACAGUCUAUGGAUCUGGUGACUGACACUCAACUCAUUGCUCCACUGUGCAGACCCUUACACACACCUGCCAAACAUCAUUAGUUCAUGUGAGAAUGAUCUCACAAUGAAGAUGUUUUUAAUAAGAAUGCACCACGUUAUAUUUAUUAAUUUUAGUUUAGAUCAUUCUAGGAAACACUCGAUAUCUGGAACAGAAUUUUUUUUUUACAAAACAACCAAUUAGAAUGCUAAGCUAACUAGCAUAAGACAACAAACAGAGGCAAGGUCACAUUCAGAGACAAAUAUCUCAGGAAUGGUAGUGAAUAUCAAAAAAGUCAUUUCUGUGCGGCUCAGUCCAAAGAUCAUCUGAGCCGAUUUUGGACAAAAUUGGACAAAAUUUGUGGGAGGAGUAGCGAAAAAACUGUUUUUCAUUUAUUUCAAUAUGGCAGACAGGUACAUUUAAGGAAAAUGACAAAUGACACAUCGUUGGAAUAGGUAUAAGCCAGGGAAUAAAAUGACAUAAAGCAUAAACAUUUUGGAAAAUGUUUUCAAAAGUUAUAAGCGUUUUUGCAAAAAUCAUUAUACCUGUGGAACACUAGGUGGCGCUGUGUUGAAACUUCUUAGGUACCUUCAGGACAUUCUGAUGAUGAUAUGUACCAAUUCUUGUGAAGAUAUGUCAAAUAGUUUAAAAGUUAUUGCAAUUUAUGACAAAAUUCAAAAUGGCGGACACUUGUUUCAUCCAAUGUUGACAACUUAUCCGCUGAUUCGGCAUGACCCAAGGAAUCCAUAGACAUCAAGAUCAUGAUUUUCUGACAAACUGUUCAAAAGUUAUUGGCCAAAAUAGCAAUUUUCCAGAUCUCAUGAACUGUAGGUGUCAAGGGCUAAACAAAAAGACUACCUUGGUUUCAAAUGCUGUAACUUUUGAUUACUUUAUGCUAUUACCACAAAAUUAUUCCAGAUGCAGCUCACAUGUAUGAGAACUUAACAAAAAAAGAAUUGUCCUCCUACCUUAUUUCCUUCCUGAGUUCCUGCAUGUCUAUGGAAGCCCAUUUCCGACACAUAAGAAAAAAUAACUUUAAAAGUCAUAAUUAUGAGAUAAAAAGUCGAAAUUAUGACAUAACUAAAUCGAAAUGAUCAAAAACAAGCUUUGCCGCAGAUAGAACAAAAUAGAUGUGGCUUUUAACCUAUGCUCUGUCGGUACAUACAGUUACCUGAGGGUGGUGCUGUUCUUGGUAUUAUAUAUAUAUAUUUUUUUUUUAUUAUUGAACAACUUCAAUAUACAAAUUCAAGCAGGGAACAGCAACAUGCAUAUGAAAAUAUACACAAAUGACAAGUAAUUAAAUCUCCAUUUGUAUAUCUGCAUAUAGACCUAUGCUUAGAUAGGUUCAUGUGUACAAAAUAAACAACAGCAUGUUAGUACAAUAAACAAAAGCACAAUCUUCAAUCCUUUAAGGGGGGUUACAAGGAAAUUAAAUGAAAUUAUAUAAAAAUAAAUAAAAAAUGAAGCAUCUACAAAAUCUUAAAAGGAAAGAGACUCAUGCAGUUUCUUGGAUUUAGGCAGCAAGGUUAUUAAUCCUAUUCUCAUUGUAGGUGAUACACUCUCUUUCUGAAUACAUUCUAAAAAUGUAAUCAUUAAAUAAUAAUUUCCUUAUAUCCUUCCAAAUUUUUUUUUAAAAUUCUGUUGACAAACCAUCGAUACCUGGUGAUUUGCUGUUUUUCAUUUGUUUUAAUGCCACAUCCAUUUCCGCUAAAGUCAACUCAUCGUCAAUUAAAAUUUUGUCUUCUUCGUUUAAUUUUUUGAUAUUACCUCUAAUAUUUUCAAAUAAAGAAUCACAAUCCACCUUUUUGUAUUUAGAUUUGUAAAUGUUACGAUAGAAAAGCCAAAUUUCAUUCUGAAAUUCCGGGUUAACGGGGGACCCACUGUAUAGAGCAAUACUCUAAUAGAAUUAGUGGGCUAAAGUCAGUCACCUCGACUUUCUUCCAAAUAACGCACAUUCGAUUCAUUGAAUGAUCACUGGCCUGGGUAACUUGUUAGUAGCGGCGUUGUUCCUCUUUCCCAAAUGAUGCACUGUAUCCACCGACCCCCGGAGUUUCUCCACUGACAACGGAAUCACCCGGGUAAGGAUUCCAAUCACUACUUCUCUUGUGUCUUCUUUUUCUUUUUCUGGGAGGCCGAUUAGUCUGAGAUCCCAUCUUCUCUUGUAUCUGGCUUGCUCCAAACACUGUUGUUUUAGUGAGACGUUCUCCUUCCUCAAAUCCAUUAUUUCCUCUUUCAUUCUUGCAAUGUCUUCUUUGUUCUCUUUGUAAUUGCGUGUGCAUUUUCCUCCAUUCUUUUUUCGAUAAUUUUCAGUCUCUGAUCCUGCUCAUAAAAUCUCUUAAUUAGAGUUUGAAUUGCGUCAAAGAUCACUUCGUUUGUGAUUUCAUCAGCUUGUUUACUUUUGACUUUCUCCUGUAUUCUUACUUUGUUGGGGUUCGGACUGGGCACAGGUGUGUGUUCAUGUCUUACUUUGGCAGUUUCUUCCAUCAUCGCUUCAACUACUUCUUCGUCACAUGCCUCCAUGAGAGCGCUCAUGUUAUAUUCAUGGUCGGCUUGUCCGGUAUCGGCUUGAUUUGCCAUCUCGUAUAAAUUUAAAGAAAUGGAGGGACUCUUUAUAGGUAGUACACCAAAACCAAAAUUCAGAUAAUGAUGGAUGUAAUUUCUACACUUCUGGUAGGUUUCUUUGCCAGAGGUAUCAAUUUUAGGACAUUAUUAAACUAAUUUAUCAGAGCCUGCAUAAAUUCUUCUGCUCACUCCGCCAUCUUGGAUUUCCCCCGCUCCUGGGGAUUAUAUUUCCAUAAUAACACAUCACAAUAUGGUGUAAUGCAAGAUUUCAUUUGAUAAUUAAUUUUCUUGCCCUCCAUGUGCUCGGUGUUGAUAAUAUUUGAAAUAAUAAAUUAAUUGAUCUAUAUCUUUAAUCUGUUAUAAAUUCUAAUAAAUUAAGAGGCUAGCCAUUGCCUACCAUUAAAUCUCAGAUGCAAACAUUAUCUGUCAUCUUUCUCCGUGCUUUUAAAUAGAUAUAGAGUAAGUAAGGCAUGAACAGUUAAAUGCUUCCACUGGGCAAUGAUAAAUUUGUGCAAUACCACUUAGCUAUAUUUAUUUGACAAUAACCUUAUACUUCUUACUCCAUUCCGUUAUUCUGUUCUAUUCUGUAUAUAGCACACCUACAAAUUUGUCUAUUUUUGUUUAUUUAUAUAUUAUAUAUACACAUGUGUUUCUUAUUCAUUUAUCUUUAUUCUUUAUUUUUUUAUUUUACUAUCUGUAUACUGCUGUUGUCUCUGUGUACUGGAAGCUUCUUCUGUCACCAAAACAAAUUCCUUGUGUGUGCAAACAUACUUGUUAAUAAAGCUCUUUUUGAUUCUUUCUGAUUCUGAUUAAAUAAAAGAGGUACUCUGGUUGAAUUUGUCAUGUGCACCAUUAAUUGAAACAUACAAGAUCAUUUUCACAGGAGUAGGCUAUAUUUACUAUGUAAUGAAAACUGCUGCCUGAUCACAACUUCCUGUUGCAAGUUCAACUGUUCCGCAGCAGAACUCGCACUAUCAGUUAACCUAUUUUUGUAACCUAUCAGUUACAAUACCAUUCAACCAAUAUUUUUGGUGCAUCCAGUAAACCAUGACAUUGAUCCGAGGUUUGAAGUUGUUCAAUGAAAACUGCCACCUCAUGCAGCCACAACUAUUUUGUUCUUUCUGCACCAAAGCUUGUUCUUGCUUAAAAUCUGAAAAGAGUGUGUUUGAUCAGAGCUAUUCAAUAUUGUUCUGCUAAAUUUCAUCAUUAGUUAAACCACGUUUAAAAUACACCUUAAUGUGUUCACAAUUUAUUCCGUUGUCUCGGGUCGGGUCGCGUCAGAUCAAUAAGCAGCAAGUCAUAAUUUCAUAAUUUUGACUUGGUAUGUCAUAAUAUUGACUUUUUUUAUCUCAUAAUUAUGACUUUUAAAGUCAUAAUUUCAACUUAGUAAGUCAUAGUUUUGAUUUAGUAAGUCAUAAUUUCGACUUUUUAUGUUUUCUUAUGUGGAGGAAAUGGGCUUCCAUACAUGUCAAAUAAGAAAAAUGUAAAAUUAUAAUUUUUUUUUUUUUUUUUUUGUCUUUUAUCAGCAGUUUUUCAGCAUGAGAAUGUCCAAAUAUGAUUUUUUUUUUUUUAUUUCUAAAAAUGUAAAAAGUUUUUAUCAGAUUCUUUUGACUCCUUGCGUUUUUGAGAUCUUUACUUUUGUGUAUGUCAAAAGAAAAUGCCUUAAAGCAAAUAGUGAGUUCUUCAUCAUUUAUUGUCACUGUAAUUAACACAGUUAUUACUGUUUAUUUAGCUCGUAGUAAGGAAUUGUUCCUUUAAAAUGUCAUUAAUUAAGUGCUUUAAGCCAACCUUUGCUAGACAUUAAUUGCAUUCAUAUUCAGUUUUCCUUAAAAUGCUUACAAAUACAUAAAGCACACACACACACACACACACACACACACGCACGUUGGCAUAUGUUGUUUAUGGGAACUCUCCAUAGGCCUAAUGGUUUUUAUACUAUACAAACUGUAUAUUCUAUCCCCUUACAUAUCCUGUAUAUAUAUAUAUAUAUAUAUAUAUAUAUAUAUAUACAUACAUACACACACAUAUAUGGGACACAAAAAAGAAAUAAAGUUUCCUGCUCAUGCUUGCCCAUUUAAUGGCAGAGAAUAGAAUAGUGAUUUUCAUAAAGUACUUUUUUAAGCGGAUGCAAACGUGUCAUAAAAUAAUCCUAUGCAACUCAUUCCAUAUAUUACAAGUGUCCUGAAAGUAUACUGUAGGGUUUGGUGAGAAACAAACAAAUUAUUAAGCGAAAAUCUUGGCAGCCAUCACACCCUGCCAUACCCAUCUGACGCCAUUUCACACGUAAGUGAAUUUAUGCCUACAUAAGAAAGCCUUGUCCCGGUAUGGUUUGUGUAAAGCCAUUUGUUAGUCUGGUUGAUUGAUGAGAAAGAAAUGAAAUGUAAAUACUUUAAAAAUCUGUAGCAGUGAUGGCAACAACUGAUGAUGGCACGGUUUGAUCUUUUGGUUGGCCAAUCAGCGGAAAGGGGCAUUUCAUUGCCACCACAUGCACAUAUUCAAAUAUUUAUCAAAUAAUCAAGCCUUUUAUUAAUUUUGUACCUCUAAAAAUGAAAAAUUGUUUUCUCAUUUUUCUACUUUCAAUAUUAAAUAAAAAAUGAAUGAAUGAUGAACGGAUUCACUGAGACCCCUAUACAUUUUUUUGGGAUGCAUGGAGGGACUACAGUCUACUACAGACCACAGCAGCGAUGGCCGUCUUGGUUUCAGCACUCCCAAGUUCAGUGGGAAAGUUUAACAUAACUACAAAAAAUGCUGUCAUAUGCAGUGCUGCCAACCUGUCCUCACGCCAAAUGUCUAUUUUCUUACGCAGUGAAAAAUACAUUGCAAAGCAUAGAGCACACUAACAACGCAAUGACUAUGAAGACAGAGCAGGUUACUUCUGAUAUGAAAAAGUCUCAGCUUCUAAAUUCUGUCAACUUUACUAUGGAAUUCAAACAAUAAAUGUGGUUUUGUGAAUCUUUAAUUUGGCAUGACAGAUAGCUGUAGUGCCUCAGUUCAAGCGGCACAUGAACUGAUCAUCUCUUCCACUUUACUACUAGUUAUAGAACCAAAUAAACAUGAAUGAACAUCAGAAGGUAUGUUGAAAGAAACAGGACAACUUACUGAAAUAUAUAAUGUCUCAUGUAAUCACUCAAUCAGUGUUUCAACCGCGGAAAGACACCAUUAAAACAGCUUGUAAAUAAUGUCACAACGUUACAUUUGUCUGAGGAUUAUGUCGUUCUGCUCAAGUGCUGUUUUUGUUCCAAAUCAAUCUGUGAACCAAUGAUUCAAUGGCCCAAUCAUAAAUAGAGCCAUUUACUUCAUUCCUAAAUGAAUCAGCCGUUUGAACGAAUCAAAUGAAUGAAUGACUCAAUGACUUACUCAUUUAGACAUUUUGGGUAUAGUUUGCCCAAAAAUAAAAAUUCUGUUUAUUUACAUUUAUUCACCCUCGUGUCGUUUUAAACCUGUAUGACUUUCUUUCUUUUGCGUAACAUAAAAGAAGACAUUUUGAAGAAUGUUGGUAAACAAACUGUUUUGGUCUGUAAAUAUAUCUAAAUACCAAUUCAGAUGCAGCUUCUGAAAAAAAAAAAAAUCAUGGCCCUUGUAGCCUAAAAGUUUAUGUAUAAUAAUUUCUAUGUUGAAUCAAAUAAAAUAUUUCUUUCUAAAGCUACUUUUUGUAAUGUCUAUUUAACGCUUUUCUCAUUUAACACAAUAAUGACUUCAAUUAUCUUUUGGGGGUAAUUUCUCAGCCAAAUUUGAUGUGUAAUUAGUUUGCGAUUAAAUUUUAAUUGCUUGACAGGCCUAAUUUAAUUAUUACUUCAUUGGGUUUUCUGCAUUUGGAUCCUCUCUGUCAUCUCUGAGUCCCUUCUCGUCAGAAAAAUGUUUAUCACAAAAGAAUAAAUGAUUGGCAAGAUUUUAAAAAGGCUGCAUUACCUACAACCACACCCUUUUGUAAAUGCACAACAAUGUGCCCAAUAAAACGAAGCAGCAAACUGGCCAUCCAAUUUGAACUUGAAAUCUUACUCUGCGAAAUUAUAACAUUUUUAUUCAUAAAGUUUACACUUCAGUCAUAGUGAAGUGUAGCCUAAUAGGCAUGUGACAGUAUCAAAUUUUCAUGUUGCGAUUAUUGCUGAAGCUUUAAUCACGGUAUACAGUAUUAUCACGAUAUUGAAUAAGUUGCAAAAAAGUGCUGUCAUGCAGGUUUAAUAAUUUUUUUUUCUUAUAACAAAAGAACUCUAAACAUUUAAAUACAAUAAAGCAAUACAUAAUACACAAAUGUAUAAAGUAAACAAAUGUUUCAAACAGAUUAAAGCGCAAAAGAAUUAUAAAGAACAAUAGGUAACACUUUACAAUAACGUAUCAUUAGUUAACUUAUUUUUUUUUAUGUAAGUACAUAGUAGUUAAGGCCACCUAAUAUAAAGUGGGACCAAAUAAUGUGUUAUUAAAUGCUGAAGUGAACAUAAACUAAAACUAAUAAAUACUUUAGAAGUAUUGUUUAUUGACAGUUUAUGCUAACUAAUGAAUUAACUAAUCUUCACUAAUGGAGCCUUAUUGUAAAGUGUUACCGAACAAUAAUAAAGAAUCAGAACCUUUUCAAUCAAUAUCUAGGGCAUGUUGUAGACCAGAUUAAAAUGUAAAAAUGUUUAAGUUUGAAAAUAAAUGGACUAUUAAGUAUCUAAUAUUUAAGUAUUUGGUGCUACGAUGAACACCAGUGUGAAUACAAAAAUCUGAAUAGCUGUUUAAAACACUUAAACACUGUUUAGAAAAAGAAAGUGCAGCUGCUUUGUUUACAGGGUUACUGGGAUAGCGGAUGCAUUUCUGCUGUUUCAUAAGCACCAUCUGCUGUCAGAGAGUGAAUGUGCAUUUUCAUUCAGUGCAUCUCCUUCACUUAUUCCACCAUGUGCUUCUCAUCCAUGUUGGGUUUGUUUACAUCAGAGUGCGCAUGGCUCAUUGACACAGCAUACAGCGGUGUUGUGCAUUUUAACCGGGUGAUGGGAAAAGUAUCCUUAAAAUGAAUUCUAAAAAUCUGAAUAAUUAUAAUAAAUAAUUAUUCACUGUAUUAAGUGCCCACGAUAACAAUAUUGUGCAUGUUCGUUAUCAUGAUAUAUCAUAUUACCGUAUAUCAGCACAUGUCUACAGCCUAACAAGUAUUUUUUGUAUUAUUUGGGAGAAUUCAUUACUCAUUUUGAAGUCAUUAUUCAUGCCUUUCCAAAUAAGAUAUUUGUCUUCGGGUCUGUCUCUACUUAAUAUAGCAUUUGCCAUUAGCUUUGCAACGUGCUAACGCAAACUCUAUUGAAAUCAAUAGUCAAGUCUCCAAUGUUCUGUGACGUGUGUGCCAUGUGGUAUUUUCUGCCUUUGUAGAGUGUUCCAAAUUAGCCACUUACGAAGUUCCAUUUCAGUCAAGAUGUUGCCUUAGAAGGUAGCAACAAGAUAACUCACUAGGAUUCAGUAUAUUUUCUCACUAGGAUUAAGUG
Ctenopharyngodon idella (grass carp) is the source of this 10572-nucleotide long non-coding RNA. RefSeq lists it as uncharacterized. The transcript has 5 exons. Lineage: Eukaryota; Metazoa; Chordata; Actinopteri; Cypriniformes; Xenocyprididae. The record is from RefSeq and is a predicted model, not a curated record.